GCUAAGAGAAGAGCACGUGCUGCACUACCAGAGCAACCACAGCGCCUUCAACAAUCAGCAGAACCUUCUGAAACAACACAUUGCCGAGAUCAAGGAAAGCGAAGCAAAGCAUUGCAGCAAAGGAACAGAUAUAGAACGAGGAGGGGAGGAAGUAGCAGGAGAGGAGUGAAUUUCCCCCAGUGGGGGUCCCUUAUGAAGAUUGAAGCAGAUUUGACCCGCAGACCAAACCGAGACGUACCUGUACCGCUCGUCAGUCAUUUAUGUGAAAUUGCUGCGACAAGGUAAUGACUACACGGGUCAGGGAGCCGCUCCCAAGGCCUAAUCUUUCAAUCGACCCACAAGGUCCAGAGAUACAACUGACUCCUGACCUUCCCCAAGCCUCGCCGACUGCAUGAGAGGAGGAUGCCUGCAGAUAAUGACUUCUGGCACAGCAUCACCACAUUAGAGGGAAUCCAUCAUAUUAAUGAUCCCAAGGCCACUUCAUUAUUCACAGAGAAGCAGCUCGGCUGUCCAAAUAAAUUAUCAUUGGUGUUCCAUUAAUGGAAGUUUUCGAAUCUCGCCGCAGAAGAUGCCAUUAAUCUGCACACAGCGCCUCUCCAGAGUGGAACGGUCGGCUACUGUACCACUGCCAGCGAUCUGUGAAGAAGAGGAGCUCCCCACCGUCCUCGCUCACUUUCCUUAUGUGGGAGGAAGUCCAAUUAUGAUUGACGUUAACUACUGCGGCUCCAGACCGGAUCUCUCCCAAGCUGCACACUUUGCAUUUUUUAUACACUGCUAAAGGGAUAUGUGCUUACAGGUGAAGGGUAGAGCUACAAAGUGGUGCUUCUGUCUGAAACUGUGGAUGAGAAACUCCGACCUCUCGCCUCCUGAUGGAGCACUUUCGGCUAAUUCGACACAUAUUGCAUUUGUGCGUUGGAAAAUUGCGAAGCCAAAAGCCUCUGCCGCUCCCCAGGGACUCCCCGCACAUCCAUUCCCCCUGCACACACACGUGGGCCAACUCCCAGACACAUACUGUUAAUAUUCUGAUUGGACAUUUGUAGAAGGACCUUGAAAAGUCACGUACUGUGCAACUUUCUAACACUUUAAUGAAAUUGCUUCUCAUAAUGUUGGCAUUCACCGACUAUUAUGUUUUUCAUUAUGACAGCCUACUGUAGGAGUCAAACUCAUUUCCAUUUUCUCCGAAUGUAAGAGAGCAAUAAAUCCAUUUCCUUUAACGCCCUGCAGACCGCCUGGCUUUACUAUCAGACAAAUAACUAAAGUGAAGUUCUGUAAUACAGCACUCGGAAAUUAAUUAUGUGGCAGCCUGAUAUCAGCUUUUUAUGGUAAACAAAGUGAGCUGUAUAAAAGAGCUUUUGUUGUGUUUGUCAGCUCUUAAGCUCAAUUUGCUUAGUAGAAAUAGCCACUGCCUGAAGGUGCUCAGCUGGAUCUGUUAUUUAUUUCCCCACCUACCCGCUCUUAUUCACCAUCAACGUUGAUUUCCAUACUCUCUCUCUCAUAACAGGACGUGGCGCUGUCAUCGCCUUCCUGGCCAGCUCAUUGCACCCCUGAGUCAGGUGGUGAAUGUGAGGCAGUAUUUAGCUGCGGCUUGCUGUUCUGCCGUGAGUUUUCAGUUGGAGGCUUGCAGCAUGCCUCCAGGUCUGGAAGGAGCUCCAGCUUCUGUUCCUGCCAAAAUCUUCCCGUGUGCUGAACCUCCUCCUGCUCAUGCACCUGAACCUGGCGCUGCAGGGAUUGAAGUCCCACAGUUUUCUGCGAACUGACCUCUUUGGCCAAAUGGAUGAGGUCUUCACGCAGCACCUGAUGUCUGCAAUAAA
Molecule: long non-coding RNA, 1811 nt
Organism: Chelmon rostratus (copperband butterflyfish)
Lineage: Eukaryota; Metazoa; Chordata; Actinopteri; Chaetodontiformes; Chaetodontidae
Exons: 3
Source: RefSeq, a predicted model, not a curated record